This 253-nucleotide ribosomal RNA is filed under the name uncultured bacterium. RNAcentral's name for it is "partial 16S ribosomal RNA". It matches the Rfam family "Bacterial small subunit ribosomal RNA", at positions 524 to 776 of the family's 1533-position model. The record is from RNAcentral.
UACGUAGGCAGCGAGCGUUGUUCGGAAUUACUGGGCGUAAAGAGUGUGUAGGCGGUGUUCCCAGUCUGUUGUGAAAUCUCCCGGCUUAACUGGGGGGGUGCAGCGGAAACUAGAAUGCUAGAGGGUGGGAGAGGUAAGCGGAAUUCCUGGUGUAGCGGUGAAAUGCGUAGAUAUCAGGAGGAACACCAAUGGCGAAGGCAGCUCGCUGGGACGUGACUGACGCUGAGACGCGAAAGCGUGGGGAGCAAACAGG